Molecule: long non-coding RNA, 526 nt
Organism: Sinocyclocheilus rhinocerous
Lineage: Eukaryota; Metazoa; Chordata; Actinopteri; Cypriniformes; Cyprinidae
Exons: 3
Source: RefSeq, a predicted model, not a curated record
GUGAUAGGAAAUUAAUGUUGAAAUAAAGUAACGCCUCAUAUAUUCAUUUAUUAACGCGGUACCAAAAAAAAUCAUUAUCGUGGAUCGUUAGUGAUUUGAUCGAUAAUAAAUUAACAUACUUUACAACUAAACUUAAGGUCUCUUUGUUUAUGACUAGUGUUUGUAAGUGUUUCAUGUUUAAGAAGCUGUCAUAUGCUGUCUUAGACUUUGAACCCAAAGCCCAUCCAAUAAACUCCUUUAAAAGCUUGAAAUAAGCAAAAAAGUCAGAUUUGACAGUCUGAAGGUCUCUUAAUACCUUUAGCAAACGUUCACCAUGCCAGCCACGAAGAACAGCAGUGUGAAAAGCUGUGUGGAUGUGUUUUUCCUCAAGACCAAAGCUAGACUGGAGGUUUGUCCAAAGAUUCUGCAGAAUCCUGAAGAUCCUUUUCCCAUCCUGGAACAACCAAAGUGUCCGAAUGUUCAUGACGCUUCUUGGAGUCACGCUUUCAGUUCAGCUUGUGAUUUAUCAAGUGGGUCUUAUUCCGAG